RNAcentral lists this unclassified non-coding RNA (20 nucleotides) under Mus musculus (house mouse). Its description in RNAcentral is "oocyte_clustered_small_RNA2915". The record is from RNAcentral. Lineage: Eukaryota; Metazoa; Chordata; Mammalia; Rodentia; Muridae.
UAGGGCAGUGGCGCAGAAGG